Synchiropus splendidus (mandarinfish) is the source of this 3524-nucleotide long non-coding RNA. RefSeq lists it as uncharacterized. The transcript is spliced from 4 exons. The record is from RefSeq and is a predicted model, not a curated record. NCBI's taxonomy places the organism in Eukaryota, Metazoa, Chordata, Actinopteri, Syngnathiformes, Callionymidae.
UCUCAGUGGCAGCAAUGAGGGAGACACCUCACCUCUGCUCCCUCCGUCCUGUAGCUGUGCAGGAUGCAGUGCAGUAUUCCUCUGUACUUCCUCUGCAGCUGAGCGUCCGCCUGCAUCCUGCUCUUCACCACGUCGGCCGGCGUCGCCGUCACCCAGGAGAUGGAACCUGAACACACACGGACGUCACACGGCUGAACAGUCUGGCGCAGGAAUGUUUUGCCCUCGCAGGGGCAUCAUGGAGGUAGCCUGACCACAAGAAAGUCCUGGGGUUGAAUCCAGCUACAGCACGUCCUCCUGGGAACUCUUGUUCCCUCCCGCACACCAAGUCAUACAUGGAUCGCAGGAGAGCUCCGGCAUCACUGUUCCACUUUGCUCUCGGCUUUACCUCGGAGUCCCUGUGAACUUCCUCACCCUGGAUUUCGGCUCUCACUUGCUCUUGUAUAGCAGAGUUAAUGGGGAUCAGAAGACCACGAUUCCUCCUCCACCGCCUCCCAAGCUCUCCUCCAAACUUCCAGAACUACUUCAGAAAAAGAGGAAUUACCCCGACAAUUGAGACAGUCUGGGCACCGGACCUGCCGGCCAGACCCAAUCUCCUCCCGGCGGCCCUAACUGAUGUUCUGCUCUUUGAUUGAAAGUCUGAUGAGAGAUGAAGUGGAGCGGCUGAGACUCACACAAGCAGGAAUCUGAAAGAAGAUUGUUGUUGGUGAAACGUGGACGUGCACAGGGAAGAUGGAUCGCUGUCGGCAGAGUGGCGGGAAGCCUCAUGACAGCAGAUGGCAUUGGAGGUCGAACACAGGUAGAGGAAUCUCCCACGUAUGUGGAGGAGAAUUAAUGCAGGAAGAACAAGCUCUUCUUCCCAGAUACGACGUGUCCCACCGUUGUGUUUCCAUUAUUCAAACGCGGCUGUUGCAGGGAUGAAAGGUGAAGGUUUAUGAAGACAGAUAGACUUUUAAAGGAGACCUCCUCAUCCAUCCAGACGCUGGGCUGCCUCCUGGAACUUGAGGUUGUGGCUUCACUUUUAGUGGCCUGUUUAUGUUGUGAACGUUACACAUAGAUCUCGAUGGAGCCUUCUGUCUGUGCUCUGCCUUCAUUUCCUUCGUAUUUCCGCACAUUUCAAAAGCUUACGGAUAUGGUCCAAACGCAGUAGUACCACCUGAAACCGUGGGGGGCAGUGUUGCUGUUACUACCCGAUACAUAGCUCUAAGGAGAUUCAAAGAAGACAUAACAAUGGUGGAAACUCUCCGUCCUCCAGUGGCGAUAUAUUUACUGGCCUCACCAACCACCGCCUCCGACAACGCUGCCUCUGUUUUCCUCCUUUGUGCAGGAGCUACAUCUACAGUAGCUGUUUCUUUGGGCACCAUAUUGUUGCAUCAAAAAUCAUUCUGUGAAAUAAAUACAUGAAACACAAUGUUAAACAAGACAGAUAAAAAAAUGUUCAAACUUAGACGGUGGAAACAAAUGACUGUGAUGAAAGUUAUUUACCGGAAAGAAACAUGAGCAUAAAAGGUACUUUGAAGGUCAUAAAAAAGGGAGGAUGGAAUGUCAAAGUUUUGGGCUCUUUGAACUUUGGUGGUUAGGGUCAGUCACAAAAGUAGCUGCAAGCUUGACCUAUAAAUGUCAUGGUAAAGAGUCAAGACACACACACAUAUCUGUAGGUAAAAAUGAAUAAAUCAAUAAAUAAACAGUCAAAGUUAAAAGAGGAUAGAAUACAGUCCAUAAAUAAACUAACGCAAUAACAAUGAAUACAAAAGACAGAAAAGCUCUGCCACCUGGAACUGAAUAUUAAGCACACAAAUUAAAAGAAUUAAAAAAAAAGAGCAAUCGCUCUUUCAUUUCUUAAAAUGAUCAUGUUUUGACCCUCUAAAAGAUGAAUGAUUUGAACCUGACUGGAAGCAAGAAAGUGAAACCAUGGAAGUCAGACUAGACUGACUCCUGGAGUCGUGUUUCCAGGUCCAUGAGCAGGAACAAGUGACCUGAGCUUGAUGGCUUCAGGAUUCACUCACUUCAGCUCAUUCUUUACGUAACGUCAGCGAGAGCGUUCGUCUUUAGCUCUGCAUCGCUAUAGCAAACAUGCUCAUUACCGCGUCUGGCUGCCUCCAGUACGAAGCAAGUCAAAAUGUAGUGAAGCCCCCGGCUAGGAAGACGCAGCGCCGUGGUCGUCGAUGCUGAAAGUAGCUGAGCCUCAGGUUUUGUCCUCCUUUUUGGAAUGUAGUCCACAGCGACUUUAUCGCUACACCGGAACCCACCACAGCCGACGGUCCGUCUCUCCUCAACCCUUCUCUACAGUCUGGGACCCAGGUCUUGAACUGAGAGUUGAGCUGAACUCACUAUCGGGACGUUGCUCCUCCAGAGUGGAGUCCAAGUGACUCCAACUGAGCUGUGAAAGCCAGGGUGGCAUGGUGAGGUCACGGUGAGAGGAACGUGCCUAAACAUUGUCCUCCACCACUGUUCCGUCAAGACCAACAACAGGAAGUUGAAAUGCAACCAGCUCUUCAUGCCUUCAGGGAACAACUAGGUGACCUCCGACUUUGACCUGGACUCCACCACUGCCUCCUCUAUAAUCGAGCAGCAGAGUUACUCUGCGCCUCUGACAGAGUGAGCUGAGGCGCUGAUGGAGAUUUUGAUCGGAGGUGGACGGACGGAUGCCGGCAGCAGGCUUGACGGAUGGAUUCCUCGCCUCCAGGGGAAAUUGGAUGAAGAGAAAAUUCACCUCACGCUGAGACCCCGCUGACCCCUCUGUGUGUUUGUGAGUCUGUCUCACGCUUUGGUCAGCAGAAGGUUCUCCAGGUGACCCCUUCAAGCUUGUGUGGGUUUCCUCCGUAGCUCCUGUUUCCUGCCUCGGUCCAAAAACUCCUGUCCUGGGUGUCAACCCUGAGCUGCUGCUCCCUUCUCCCGCACCAGAGGAGAAGCACGAGGUUUGGUGGAACAUGAAUCCUGACUCACUGGUUCCUGGAGGGUCUGUGACGACGCCUUAUUUAGAACGUGUUACAUAAUUAGUCGAUUAACAAAGAGCUGAGUCGUCCUGGUUGUUCCACCUGACUCAUCCACAGAGACUGCGGCGGGUGGGAAUGUGACCUUAGAUGUCAUCCUCCUAAGUGGGAACACACAUAUUCUGCAUCUGCCGGCAGCUUUCAUGAGGCAACGAGAGCAGCACUAAAAGCUCCUGUCGGAAUUAUGAUCCAUCACUGCAAUCAGAAAGAGCUUAAGCAGACGCUUCUACUGGCUGAAAACAAGAGGAAUCCAACAAGUCACCUGAAAUGAUGCUUUUCAGGCGGAGAGAGGACGCUGUUUCAGACUAGAACCAGGGUUGAGAGGUGACUGCUGGGUCAUAGAGUAUUUUUCUAAAUAAGAAAAGAUAAAGAAAUAAAAACAAUCUAUUUUUUCAUGAGAAGAAAAGAUCAAGAAAUUUAAAAAUCAUUUUUUUUAAUAAAGAAAAGACAAAGUAAUAAAAAAUAAAGUUGUAUAUUUCUGAAAAGAAAAUAUAAAGAAAUAAAAAUAAAACAUUUUUUUCCUAAAAAACAAAA